Molecule: long non-coding RNA, 1119 nt
Filed under: Salmo trutta (river trout)
Lineage: Eukaryota; Metazoa; Chordata; Actinopteri; Salmoniformes; Salmonidae
Description: lncRNA (ENSSTUG00000049159.1)
Source: RNAcentral
CGACAGACGAGUGAAUUUAAAAUGUUUAAAUGAAAAAAUUAGCCCAGUUCAUUUGAAAUGGAAAAAGUAGGUGGCUGAAAAUGGAAAACACAAUGUGUGUGUGUGUGUGUGCGUGUGUUUGCGUGUGUGUGUGUGUGUGUGUGUGUGUGUGUGUGUGUGUGUGCAUGUGUGUGUGUGCAUGUGUGUCUGUGUGUGUGUGUGUGUGUGCAUUUGUGUGUGUGCAUGAGCUUGCGUGUACGGGGCGGUGUACGGACAGUGGAGUGUGUUAUAACUGUGUGUGUGUGUGUGUGUGCGUGCGUGCGUGCGUGUGUGUGUGUGUGUAUCUGUGUGUGUGUGUGUGUGUGUGUGCGUGCGUGCGUGUGUGUGUGUGUAGGCUGGCGGUACGGGGCGGUCUACGGGCGAUGGGGUGUGUUUCCAGGUGAGUGUGUCCAGCCGGUCGCCGCUCCAGACUUCCUGGUUCUCCCUGCUGAGAGGGCGGAGCCUCGCGACAGACACGGCCGUGUUGCCGCCUCCGCUGCGAUCGCCGUGGCGAUGGGCUCUACUGUCGCCGCCCAUGAACUGGACCUCAACACAGAGGUACACACACACACACACACACACAGAUACACACACACACACACGCACACACGCACACACACGCAAGCUCAUGCACACACACAGACAUGUUACAUGCAGACAUGCGUACAUUCACUCUCUAAUGUUCUCUGUGUGUGUGUGUGUCUGUCUGUGUGUGUGUGUGUUUGUAUCUGUGUGUGUGUGUGCGUGUGUGUGCGUGUGCGUCAGGCUGUGGUAGGCUAUGGUGAAGACAGCAGUAGUCUCCAUGUGGAAGGGCUCCCUCUACAGGCCAGUCAGUAUAACAUGGAGGAAUUCUCCAGGAAGUACUACAGACGGACUCAGAGACACGGAGACCAGCUGAAAACCAGGAAGGGGAAGGAGAGCAGAGAACCAGCUGACAUGGUUAAAUACUCUAAGUCCCCUCUCCAGGAGUCUCUGAUAGACUUCACAGACAGCAACAUGAACAAGGUAGCAGCUGACAUCUCCCUGGGUAAGAUGGAGACAACACUGUUCCCAAAUGGAACCCUAUUCCCUACAUAGUACACUACUUUUGACUAGAGCUCA